AACGAACGCUGGCGGCGUGCUUAACACAUGCAAGUCGAACGGAAAGGCCCUGCUUUUGUGGGCUGCUCGAGUGGAGAACGGGGGAGUUACCCGUGAGUAACCUGCACUUCCCUUUGAGAUAUGCUAAGGAAGCUGGGGCUAAUACCGGCUAGGAGCUACCGCUGCAUGGUGGGGGUGGGAUAGUUUCGGUAGUUGGGGGUGGACUAGCGGCUUAUGAGCUUGAUGGUGGGGUAGUGGCUUACCAAGGCUUUGACGGGUAGCCGGCCUGGGAGGGGGACAGGACACGCUGGGCCUGAGAUACGGCACGGACUCCAAUGGGAGGCAAGGGUGGGGAAUAGUGUAUAAUGGGCGGGAGCCUGAUGCAGUAACGCCGCGUGGGGGAUGACGGCCUUCGGGUAGGAAAGCGCAUCCGCCUUUGACGAAGCGAUAGUGACGGUAACGGGUGAAGAAGCACCGGCUAACUACGUG
RNAcentral lists this ribosomal RNA (468 nucleotides) under uncultured bacterium. RNAcentral's name for it is "partial 16S ribosomal RNA". It matches the Rfam family "Bacterial small subunit ribosomal RNA", at positions 28 to 507 of the family's 1533-position model. The record is from RNAcentral.